Molecule: ribosomal RNA, 800 nt
Filed under: Psora decipiens
Lineage: Eukaryota; Fungi; Ascomycota; Lecanoromycetes; Lecanorales; Psoraceae
Description: LSU rRNA
Rfam family: Eukaryotic large subunit ribosomal RNA
Source: RNAcentral
AUCUGACCUUUGGGUCGAGUUGUAAUUUGCAGAGGGUGUUUCGGGCACGGUGCCGGUUUAAGUCCUUUGGAACAGGGUGUCAUAGAGGGUGAGAACCCCGUAUGUGACCGGUCGCCAAACCCAUGUGAAACCCCUUCGACGAGUCGAGUUGUUUGGGAAUGCAGCUCAAAAUGGGUGGUAAAUUUCAUCUAAAGCUAAAUAUUGGCCAGAGACCGAUAGCGCACAAGUAGAGUGAUCGAAAGAUGAAAAGCACUUUGGAAAGAGAGUCAAACAGCACGUGAAAUUGUUGAAAGGGAAGCGCUUGCGACCAGACUUGCUCGCGGGUGAUCAGCGGUGCUUUUCGCGCCGUGCACUCAUCCGCGAUCAGGCCAGCAUCGGUUCAGGCGGCCGGACAAAGACUCGGAGAAUGUAGCUCCCUCCGGGGAGUGUUAUAUCUCCUUGUGCAAUACGACCAGCCGGGACCGAGGACCGCGCUUCGGCUAGGAUGCUGGCGUAAUGGUCGUAAGCGACCCGUCUUGAAACACGGACCAAGGAGUCUAACAUCUGUGCGAGUGUUUGGGCGUUAAACCCAUGCGCGCAAUGAAAGUGAACGUGAGGUGGGAACCCUUUCGGGGGCGCACCAUCGACCGAUCCAGAUGUCUUCGGAUGGAUUUGAGUAAGAGCACAGCUGUUGGGACCCGAAAGAUGGUGAACUAUGCCUGAAUAGGGUGAAGCCAGAGGAAACUCUGGUGGAGGCUCGCAGCGGUUCUGACGUGCAAAUCGAUCGUCAAAUUUGGGUAUAGGGGCGAAAGACUAAUCGA